UCAUUUAAAGAAAGCGUAAUAGCUCACUGGUCGAGUCGGCCUGCGCGGAAGAUGUAACGGGGCUAAACCAUGCACCGAAGCUGCGGCAGCGACACUAUGUGUUGUUGGGUAGGGGAGCGUUCUGUAAGCCUGCGAAGGUGACCUGUGAGGGUUGCUGGAGGUAUCAGAAGUGCGAAUGCUGACAUAAGUAACGAUAAAGCGGGUGAAAAGCCCGCUCGCCGGAAGACCAAGGGUUCCUGUCCAACGUUAAUCGGGGCAGGGUGAGUCGACCCCUAAGGCGAGGCCGAAAGGCGUAGUCGAUGGGAAACAGGUUAAUAUUCCUGUACUUGGUGUUACUGCGAAGGGGGGACGGAGAAGGCUAUGUUAGCCGGGCGACGGUUGUCCCGGUUUAAGCAUGUAGGCUGGUUAUCCAGGCAAAUCCGGAUAAUCAAGGCUGAGGUGUGAUGACGAGGCACUACGGUGCUGAAGUAACAAAUGCCCUGCUUCCAGGAAAAGCCUCUAAGCAUCAGGUAACAUCAAAUCGUACCCCAAACCGACACAGGUGGUCAGGUAGAGAAUACCAAGGCGCUUGAGAGAACUCGGGUGAAGGAACUAGGCAAAAUGGUGCCGUAACUUCGGGAGAAGGCACGCUGGUGUGUAGGUGAAGUCCCUGCGGAUGGAGCUGAGACCAGUCGAAGAUACCAGCUGGCUGCAACUGUUUAUUAAAAACACAGCACUGUGCAAACACGAAAGUGGACGUAUACGGUGUGACGCCUGCCCGGUGCCGGAAGGUUAAUUGAUGGGGUUAUCCGUAAGGAGAAGCUCUUGAUCGAAGCCCCGGUAAACGGCGGCCGUAACUAUAACGGUCCUAAGGUAGCGAAAUUCCUUGUCGGGUAAGUUCCGACCUGCACGAAUGGCGUAAUGAUGGCCAGGCUGUCUCCACCCGAGACUCAGUGAAAUUGAACUCGCUGUGAAGAUGCAGUGUACCCGCGGCAAGACGGAAAGACCCCGUGAACCUUUACUAUAGCUUGACACUGAACAUUGAGCCUUGAUGUGUAGGAUAGGUGGGAGGCUUUGAAGCGUGGACGCCAGUCUGCGUGGAGCCAACCUUGAAAUACCACCCUUUAAUGUUUGAUGUUCUAACGUUGGCCCCUGACCGGGGUUGCGGACAGUGUCUGGUGGGUAGUUUGACUGGGGCGGUCUCCUCCCAAAGCGUAACGGAGGAGCACGAAGGUUAGCUAAUCCUGGUCGGACAUCAGGAGGUUAGUGCAAUGGCAUAAGCUAGCUUGACUGCGAGCGUGACGGCGCGAGCAGGUGCGAAAGCAGGUCAUAGUGAUCCGGUGGUUCUGAAUGGAAGGGCCAUCGCUCAACGGAUAAAAGGUACUCCGGGGAUAACAGGCUGAUACCGCCCAAGAGUUCAUAUCGACGGCGGUGUUUGGCACCUCGAUGUCGGCUCAUCACAUCCUGGGGCUGAAGUAGGUCCCAAGGGUAUGGCUGUUCGCCAUUUAAAGUGGUACGCGAGCUGGGUUUAGAACGUCGUGAGACAGUUCGGUCCCUAUCUGCCGUGGGCGCUGGAGAAUUGAGGGGGGCUGCUCCUAGUACGAGAGGACCGGAGUGGACGCAUCACUGGUGUUCGGGUUGUCAUGCCAAUGGCACUGCCCGGUAGCUAAAUGCGGAAGAGAUAAGUGCUGAAAGCAUCUAAGCACGAAACUUGCCCCGAGAUGAGUUCU
Molecule: ribosomal RNA, 1709 nt
Filed under: Klebsiella pneumoniae HSL4
Lineage: Bacteria; Pseudomonadati; Pseudomonadota; Gammaproteobacteria; Enterobacterales; Enterobacteriaceae
Description: bacterial LSU rRNA
Rfam family: Bacterial large subunit ribosomal RNA
Source: RNAcentral